Molecule: long non-coding RNA, 1368 nt
Organism: Homo sapiens (human)
Lineage: Eukaryota; Metazoa; Chordata; Mammalia; Primates; Hominidae
Product: long independently transcribed non-coding RNA 2084
Exons: 2
Source: RefSeq, a predicted model, not a curated record
AAAUGUGUGCGCUGAGCCGAGGCCUCUAAGCGGUAGGAGAGAAUCUGACCUCCGACAUUCUUUUCAAGACACGCGCCGGUGGACCGGGUCCUGGGAUUGGCUUACUCCCGGGCUGGACCUUGGGAGCCUCCCAGAGCUGUCGAAAUCUCCGCGGGGUGAAAGCUAAACUUUUGGAGUCGCUGUGUAGCCGGGUAGAGGACACGGCGGCGCGAGCCGGAAAGAUAAGUGUCCAGGCGAAUGGGAAAGGAAAGAUCUUAAUUUUUGUUCCUACUGUUAGCUGAAUGUCCAUAAAAAUCAAAGGGAAUGCGGGGAAGUUUUUAUUCCAGAGCGUUUCCAUGACACCCGCAGAGAUUUAAAAAAUUACAUUCCUCCCCCUACGCAGGUUUAAUUCGGAAAGAAGAGACUGCAGAGGAGAGGGAAGACCGUGAGUCUGCUUUCACCUAGGUUUAAAGCGAAUCAAAGACGGCUGUAAAAAGGGAAACCGGGACCAAAAACAGAUUUGGAGCCUCGAAACUCUCCAUUGAAGGUUUGGAAGAUACGUUGCUGCAGACUUGAAACCGGCUCCAAAUCCGGCCCAAACAUGGGCUGAAAAUAUGGCGCGCUAAUCUGCUGCUUCCCCUCCUCCUCAAGUUCUUUCUGACUCUUCCCACCUUUCCCAGUUUCCCUUCCAGACGUCUGCGGCUCCCCACUCCACCCCCAGGAUAGCUACUCUACAUCCCGACAAUUCCCAGCUUCUACACCCAGGAGGAGGAAUUCUGGAACCACCCAGAGCGAACUCGUGCCGGGGCGGGGUGGGGACCGGAGGAAGGUCCUGCUCCGAAUUCUCUCCAGAGCAGAAAAGAAUUCUAGAGGCUACAUGUGGGCUGCUUUCCCCCCUUCUUCCUUUUUUCCCUCGCAAACCAACAACCAAAAAGUGUUUGGUGAUGGAAAGAACACCAGUGGAAAACGGCAAAUAACAGUAUUUCCAACUCCGAGUCAGGUCCUCUUUGCACUGCUUUUUCCUGUUUCAUUGCAAUUUAUUGAUUUUAUUGUGGUUUUUUGUUUAUUUGGGGCAAGAACGGAGAUGUGAACCAGGACGAGCCAGCAGACCCCCGAGCCAGUAUCUCCUCCCUGGGCAGGGAACACCGCCUGCACCGGUGCAUACUAGGAGACCCUGGCGGAGAAUGUAAACAAACCGGGCGCCGAGCCCUUGAUCUUUAUUUAAAUAGAGGCUUGUUUAUCGGUGUCAUCCUAGGAGGAUUAAUUAGAUACAUCUCUUCACAAUUUGGUGUCUGACACUCCAUCUUAGGAAUGCCUUAUCAUAAGGUGUUAAUUGGGGCCACUCAGCCACUUACGUUUCUAUUAAACACUGUGAGGGACUUUUCACAA